This is a long non-coding RNA of Peromyscus eremicus (cactus mouse), 951 nucleotides long. RefSeq lists it as uncharacterized. NCBI's taxonomy places the organism in Eukaryota, Metazoa, Chordata, Mammalia, Rodentia, Cricetidae. The transcript is spliced from 3 exons. The record is from RefSeq and is a predicted model, not a curated record.
CUGUCUUCCUCCAAACCUGCCUUGUCCUACCCACUCCUGAACAUGCCUACCCCCUCCAGGCAGCUCUGGGAGGCUGGGGUGAUCACACCAGAGUUCCCACCAGCCUCAGCUCACGGAGCAGAGUGCCUCGUUCUUACAGUGCCCUGCUGAGGCUGCCCAGACACCCAGACCAGCUCAGGCAGAAGCUUUGGCAGUCUAGCCUCACAGUCCCAGCCUCUCAACGGCUGCCCACUGUCGGAAACCAGGCAGAACUUGGUGAUGCAACAAAGAGGCGCCUGUAUCCUUGACCCCCAGAUCCUCUGUUGCCUCAUCAGGGGUGGGGGUCCCCUGGGGGGUGGCCAGCUGCACUGUGCCUUCCCCCCACCCCACCAGCAGUCCCUUCCAGCAACUCAGCCACCAGCACUUCAUCAGGGUCAGAAAGAUCCGCCCCUGAAAGGGAGAGAAGGGAAGACACCCUACCCACCCCCCCUGGAACUCACAUCCCUGUGUGGAGGAUCACACGAACAAACGAACAGAGACAUUCAUUUUGAAAAUUCUGAAGCCUCACAAGGAAGGCUGACCUGCGGAGGAAGUGGCUGCAGUUUGACAGGCUGGGUGGGCGUCCGUCCGUCCGUCCAUCCAUCCGCUCCCCAGCAAGCUCCCUCAAAGAAGCCCAACAGGGGCAGAGGCACAGACAUUCCAAAAGACAGCAGCCGCAGGAAGCUUGAGCUGCCCUGGGUGGUUGUCCAACAAGUGCCAUGAACCCUGAGGACAGUCGACAGAACCACGGCACUGAGCCUGGCCCCAGUGGGAGCCUUGACAGGCCCAAGUGAGGAAACAGUGCCCUGGCCCAACGGAGUGCCCGCCUGUUCAUGCCCAGCGUCCAGGGCCUGUUGUUAAGUUUCUAGGAAUUUUUGUGACUCCGUUGUUGAGUACACCUGCUAUUAAAGGUCAAAUGGUACCAACUAGAAA